RNAcentral lists this ribosomal RNA (253 nucleotides) under uncultured bacterium. RNAcentral describes it as "partial 16S ribosomal RNA". It matches the Rfam family "Bacterial small subunit ribosomal RNA", at positions 524 to 776 of the family's 1533-position model. The record is from RNAcentral.
UACGUAGGGUGCGAGCGUUAAUCGGAAUUACUGGGCGUAAAGGGUGCGCAGGCGGCUUCGCAAGUCAGACGUGAAAUCCCUCAGCUUAACUGGGGAACUGCGUCUGAGACUGGCAAGCUUGAGUGCAGGAGAGGAACGCGGAAUUCCAGGUGUAGCGGUGAAAUGCGUAGAUAUCUGGAGGAACACCGGUGGCGAAGGCGGCGUUCUGGACUGCAACUGACACUGAGGAACGAAAGCCAGGGGAGCAAACGGG